GACGAACGCUGGCGGCGUGCUUAACACAUGCAAGUCGAACGGUAAGGCUCCAGCUUGCUGGGGUACACGAGUGGCGAACGGGUGAGUAACACGUGGGUGACCUGCCCUGCACUUCGGGAUAAGCCUGGGAAACUGGGUCUAAUACCGGAUAGGACCGCACCGUGAGGGUGUGGUGGAAAGUUUUUUCGGUGUGGGAUGGGCCCGCGGCCUAUCAGCUUGUUGGUGGGGUAAUGGCCUACCAAGGCGGCGACGGGUAGCCGGCCUGAGAGGGCGGACGGCCACAUUGGGACUGAGACACGGCCCAGACUCCUAAGGGAGGCAGCAGUGGGGAAUAUUGCACAAUGGGCGGAAGCCUGAUGCAGCGACGCCGCGUGGGGGAUGACGGCCUUCGGGUUGUAAACUCCUUUCACCAUCGACGAAGGGUUUCUGACGGUAGAUGGAGAAGAAGCACCGGCUAACUACGUGCCAGCAGCCGCGGUAAUACGUAGGGUGCGAGCGUUGUCCGGAAUUACUGGGCGUAAAGAGCUCGUAGGUGGUUUGUCGCGUCGUCUGUGAAAUUCCGGGGCUUAACUCCGGGCGUGCAGGCGAUACGGGCAUAACUUGAGUACUGUAGGGGAGACUGGAAUUCCUGGUGUAGCGGUGAAAUGCGCAGAUAUCAGGAGGAACACCGGUGGCGAAGGCGGGUCUCUGGGCAGUAACUGACGCUGAGGAGCGAAAGCAUGGGGAGCGAACAGGAUUAGAUACCCUGGUAGUCCAUGCCGUAAACGGUGGGCGCUAGGUGUGGGUUUCCUUCCACGGGAUCCGUGCCGUAGCUAACGCAUUAAGCGCCCCGCCUGGGGAGUACGGCCGCAAGGCUAAAACUCAAAGGAAUUGACGGGGGCCCGCACAAGCGGCGGAGCAUGUGGAUUAAUUCGAUGCAACGCGAAGAACCUUACCUGGGCUUGACAUAUACAGGAUCGCGCCAGAGAUGGUGUUUCCCUUGUGGCUUGUAUACAGGUGGUGCAUGGUUGUCGUCAGCUCGUGUCGUGAGAUGUUGGGUUAAGUCCCGCAACGAGCGCAACCCUUGUCUUAUGUUGCCAGCACGUUGUGGUGGGGACUCGUAAGAAACUGCCGGGGUUAACACGGAGGAAGGUGGGGAUGACGUCAAAUCAUCAUGCCCCUUAUGUCCAGGGCUUCACACAUGCUACAAUGGUCGGUACAGUGGGUUGCCAGUCCGUGAGGGCGAGCUAAUCCCGCAAAGCCGGUCUCAGUUCGGAUCGGGGUCUGCAACUCGACCCCGUGAAGUCGGAGUCGCUAGUAAUCGCAGAUCAGCAACGCUGCGGUGAAUACGUUCCCGGGCCU
RNAcentral lists this ribosomal RNA (1341 nucleotides) under uncultured bacterium. RNAcentral's name for it is "16S ribosomal RNA". It matches the Rfam family "Bacterial small subunit ribosomal RNA", at positions 28 to 1381 of the family's 1533-position model. The record is from RNAcentral.